Molecule: long non-coding RNA, 1883 nt
Organism: Triticum aestivum (bread wheat)
Lineage: Eukaryota; Viridiplantae; Streptophyta; Magnoliopsida; Poales; Poaceae
Exons: 2
Source: RefSeq, a predicted model, not a curated record
GAUAUCAGAUAACUCAUUGUCUCCUUGAGCUAUCUGCUAUAUAUGCGUUCCAGCGUCCACAUCCACAUCCACACGGCGGUAGCAGGAGAAUAUCCCAAUCGGAAACGUGCCCCGCGCGCCUCGUGCCGCCGUACGUCAGCCCCGCCGCCGGCCACCCCAUUAGUCAUACGUCGCGACUACAAAUAGGCCAACCACGUCUCCUCCCGUUCAUUCUCGUGAACCUCUGAAUUCUGAUACUCCUCCCCGACCUCCCCCCACUACCCUGGGCUCAUCGACCUCCUCAUCAACCGCGCAACGACGAUCGACCUCCAUUCAUCCGACGAUCUUCGCCGUGCCGUGCAACGACGCGCUCUAUACUAUAUGGCGCCGCAAACGACGGGUCCUACCUAUGACCCGGCGCCUAUUGAUCAAGUCUGGAUUAUUGUUGACAAGGAUGGAGGGGUCUAUAUUGGCAGCGAUGACACUGAAUAGCCGGUGAUACUUUGAUCUCUCGUCUCAAUUCCUUUGCUAUCUGUAUUAUGUUUUCAUGUGCAUACGCGUAUCGCUAAAAGUGAUGUUUUUAUCCACUGGAAUAUACCGAAAAAGGCUUUCGCUCAGAAGACAUACAAGGACUAGUUCAAAAGACACACACCCAAGUCGCACAACAAUAAAUCCAGAGGUACUGCUGAGGGCACAGCUCAACAAGCCCAAAACACACACGAAAUAAGAGACAGGCUCAGCCGGGGCCAUGGCCGGAGAGCAAACAGACGACUAAUCAGGCUCAGGCGGAGGCGGCGGUGGUGGCGGCGACAGGCGGACGGCCAUCGAGCGGAGGUCGGCGAUGAAGGCGGAGACGGCGUCCCGGUCCCGAGGGCGGCUAAGCGGCCGCCAGAGCUGCAAGUAACCAGACAGUUUGAAGAGAGCGUCAGUAGAUCGUCGAAGAGGGGAGCCUGAAUCACAAGCUUAUUGCGAAUAGUCCAGAGCGUCCACGCGAGGGCCCCAAUCUCAAGCCACCUACUGUGGCGAGAGGACAGUGGGGAGGCCUGUAGCUCGGCGAAGAGGUCGGGGAAGUUGGAGUGGCACCAAUCCCCACCAACCGCUGGAAUAUAUAUGCUUCAUACACAUAUUUGCAGUUAUCCUUAUAAAAGUAACAGUCAACUUGCUUGCUUAAUUCCCCGGAAAAAAAAACUUGCUUGCUUAAUUAUGAAGUUGACUAUGAGCGUGAGUUGAUUAGCCCGUGUGUGACUAGUCGUUGUCUCUAAGAUGCUUGUUAGUUUAUUAUCCUGUCGGCUGCUUGUUCAACAAGUGGGACCUACCGUUAAGAUUACACAAAUAUUCAGUGAGUAUUUCCUUUUCUUCUCUCUUUAUAUUAGGUCUGCUUUCCGCUCAAUUUGGUCUCGUAUCUUCUAUGUCCUUUGAGUAAUUCGAAGAUAUGGAAACUCUCUACGCAUACCCCAUACCAACUUCUCUCUUUUGUGCCCCCUCAUCCUUUGCUGCCGAUGCGGUCGCAUCUCUCCGACUGGACCUGCACAUGGAUUUGCGGUCCUCUGCAACCCCGACGGGCGUCCCAAUCCUCGUCGUUUUCAGUCGCCGUCAUUGCUGCCAUGACCAUGCUGUCGUCGUCUUGGUCACCCCUUCAACCACGCAUGUCAUCAAUGACUGUAUCACCUAUUCACCUGUCCUCCUGUCGUACAUGAUGAUUUGAGGCCGAUGAGAGUUGUGGUGACUGUGUGUAUAUAUCUUGGAUUAUUGAACUCGUGGCAAGAAAUUGUAACACAUGUACUUGCUGUUUUUCUACUCUAUUUGCGACAUAUGAACUGCUGGUGAAGCCAUAUGUACUCUGAAGUGUGUGUGUAUGUAUGUAAAUAAUAUAACAUCAUGGCAUAUCUACCACUUUUCCGUUC